RNAcentral lists this ribosomal RNA (402 nucleotides) under uncultured bacterium. Its description in RNAcentral is "bacterial SSU rRNA". It matches the Rfam family "Bacterial small subunit ribosomal RNA", at positions 355 to 774 of the family's 1533-position model. The record is from RNAcentral.
UGGGGAAUAUUGGACAAUGGGGGAAACCCUGAUCCAGCAAUGCCGCGUGAGUGAAGAAGGCCUUAGGGUUGUAAAGCUCUUUCGCCCGCGAAGAUAAUGACGGUAGCGGGAGAAGAAGCCCCGGCUAACUCCGUGCCAGCAGCCGCGGUAAGACGAAGGGGGCAAGCGUUGUUCGGAAUUACUGGGCGUAAAGCGAGUGUAGGUGGUUGUCAUAGUCAGGUGUGAAUGCCUUGAGCUCAACUCAAGAAAUGCACUUGAUACUGGGCGACUAGAGGACCGGAGAGGAUAGUGGAAUUCCCAGUGUAGUGGUGAAAUACGUAGAGAUUGGGAAGAACACCAGUGGCGAAGGCGGCUAUCUGGACGGUUUCUGACACUAAGACUCGAAAGCGUGGGGAGCAAACA